ACUCCUACGGGAGGCAGCAGUGGGGAAUAUUGCACAAUGGGAAGGCCAUCAUGCAGCGACGCAGCGUGCGGGAUGACGGCCUUCGGGUUGUAAACCGCUUUCAGCAGGGAAGAAGCGCAAGUGACGGUACCUGCAGAAGAAGUACCGGCUAACUACGUGCCAGCAGCCGCGGUAAUACGUAGGGUACGAGCGUUGUCCGGAAUUAUUGGGCGUAAGAGCUCGUAGGUGGUUGGUCACGUCUGCUGUGGAAACGCAACGCUUAACGUUGCGCGUGCAGUGGGUACGGGCUGACUAGAGUGCAGUAGGGGAGUCUGGAAUUCCUGGUGUAGCGGUGAAAUGCGCAGAUAUCAGGAGGAACACCGGUGGCGAAGGCGGGACUCUGGGCUGUAACUGACACUGAGGAGCGAAAGCAUGGGGAGGCGAACAGGAUUAGAUACCCUGUAGGCU
RNAcentral lists this ribosomal RNA (447 nucleotides) under uncultured bacterium. RNAcentral describes it as "bacterial SSU rRNA". It matches the Rfam family "Bacterial small subunit ribosomal RNA", at positions 335 to 795 of the family's 1533-position model. The record is from RNAcentral.